This 710-nucleotide ribosomal RNA is filed under the name Pseudomonas costantinii. Its description in RNAcentral is "bacterial SSU rRNA". It matches the Rfam family "Bacterial small subunit ribosomal RNA", at positions 56 to 762 of the family's 1533-position model. Lineage: Bacteria; Pseudomonadati; Pseudomonadota; Gammaproteobacteria; Pseudomonadales; Pseudomonadaceae. The record is from RNAcentral.
UGCAGUCGAGCGGUAGAGAGAAGCUUGCUUCUCUUGAGAGCGGCGGACGGGUGAGUAAUGCCUAGGAAUCUGCCUGGUAGUGGGGGAUAACGUUCGGAAACGGACGCUAAUACCGCAUACGUCCUACGGGAGAAAGCAGGGGACCUUCGGGCCUUGCGCUAUCAGAUGAGCCUAGGUCGGAUUAGCUAGUUGGUGAGGUAAUGGCUCACCAAGGCGACGAUCCGUAACUGGUCUGAGAGGAUGAUCAGUCACACUGGAACUGAGACACGGUCCAGACUCCUACGGGAGGCAGCAGUGGGGAAUAUUGGACAAUGGGCGAAAGCCUGAUCCAGCCAUGCCGCGUGUGUGAAGAAGGUCUUCGGAUUGUAAAGCACUUUAAGUUGGGAGGAAGGGCAGUUACCUAAUACGUGAUUGUUUUGACGUUACCGACAGAAUAAGCACCGGCUAACUCUGUGCCAGCAGCCGCGGUAAUACAGAGGGUGCAAGCGUUAAUCGGAAUUACUGGGCGUAAAGCGCGCGUAGGUGGUUUGUUAAGUUGGAUGUGAAAUCCCCGGGCUCAACCUGGGAACUGCAUUCAAAACUGACUGACUAGAGUAUGGUAGAGGGUGGUGGAAUUUCCUGUGUAGCGGUGAAAUGCGUAGAUAUAGGAAGGAACACCAGUGGCGAAGGCGACCACCUGGACUAAUACUGACACUGAGGUGCGAAAGCGU